ACGUCAUCUUUCCUCUACGUACGAUUUACUUGACAGAAAAGAUGAAGCCAUGAAAUUGGCAAGAGAAGCGUUUGAAAUUGCAAGUGUAUCAUUACCGUCAUCACAUUGUGAUUUGGCGAUGUAUAUGAACGGUGUCGGUGAUCGUUGUAAAUCUCGAGGAGACUACAACGAAGCCAUCGUGUGGUAUUAGAAAUCUCACCAAUUGCUGCAACAACUAAGUUCUUCGCCUACGCGAGACGACCUCCUUGCAACAACUCUUAUCAAUCUUGGUUAUUGCAUCGAACAAAGCGGAAACCUCGAAAAGAGUGCAAAUUUACUGGAGGAGGCAGUUACCCUCAGUCGGUCGUAUUGCUCACCCUCUCAUCCAAAAUUGGCA
Molecule: long non-coding RNA, 376 nt
Organism: Corticium candelabrum
Lineage: Eukaryota; Metazoa; Porifera; Homoscleromorpha; Homosclerophorida; Plakinidae
Exons: 3
Source: RefSeq, a predicted model, not a curated record